Molecule: long non-coding RNA, 4375 nt
Organism: Homo sapiens (human)
Lineage: Eukaryota; Metazoa; Chordata; Mammalia; Primates; Hominidae
Gene: DMXL1-DT
Product: DMXL1 divergent transcript
Source: Ensembl
AAUCUCUUUGAGGCUUCUACAGGAGAACGCCGUGCGUUUGAGCUUGAACCUGAUAAGCCUGGCAGAAGCCUGAUGAACCCAGAAUGAGUGAGAUGUGAGACAGAGUCUUGUUCUGUCGUGCAUGCUGGCGUACAGUGCCACAAUCACAGCUCACCGCAGCUUCCAACUUCUGGACUCACAUGAUCCUUCUGCCUCAGACUUCCAAGUACUUGGGACUACAGUCACGAAUCACCACAGCCAGCUUGGAGUGACUUUCUAAGGGAUAUUGAAGCCAUCCAUUGCUUUGUCUUCCAAGUUCAUCAGUGCCUGCACAACAUGGUAACAACAAAGUCAAAGACAUUCCAGACACUCUUCCGGAAAAAGGAAAAGCUAGGAUAGCCACAUAAGAAGGAUCUCCAGGAUGAAAAUAAACAAGAUAAACCAAGUUGCCACCUCCAAGCUCAGCUUCAAUAGCCACAGUUAGGUAUUUGUGGAUUCCAGCAAUUCUAUUUCAACCAUCAAUACGAUCAUAUUCAAAAAGAUGAGGAAGAUGACGAAGUUUGUGAAGAGAGGACACUCAAGGACCCAUCCGGCCCACAAAGAAAGAGGUGGCCUCUGAGUGCAGCGCACAUGAAGCCUGCUCAACAGCCUCUGGGCAUGUGAAAUCUGUCCUAUACGUUGAGGCUUUAUGGAGAAGCACACUAGCUGGUGUUGAUCUCCCAACAUAAGUUUCUUCUGGUGGGAAGGAUGAAGUAACUCCCUGAUAGUGUGCCACGGCACAGCUUGGCUCAAGCCUUGCAAAUGCUAGAUGAGAAAGUAUCGAUGAGACAUGAACGAAUGGCAUCAGCUAGGGGCAGCUGCAUCUGCCCUUCUUGGUGAUAAGUGGCCAUGUCUGCUCAGCCCAGGUUCUCUUCACCCACUCAGUCCUGACUUCACGCUUCCGCCUCCAGCUCUGGCGCCCCCUGAGCCCCGCUCACCCGACGCAGGGCUGGCUCAGGGCCGGCUCACAGCCUCACUGCGCCCCAUUCCCAGCCCCGGCCCCAGCCCAGGACUGGGCCCAGCCGUGCUCAGGUGAGCUGCCUCGCCCUACUCAGCCACCAUGUGUAGAUUUUAAGCUUUUAUUUAUUUAUUUAUUUUUUAACUGGAGGAAUCUGUCACACACCACCAAGAAAAUUGUGUUCUCCUCUGAAAAAAAAAGUCAUGCAAAAAAAUCAGAUUCAUAAUAGAAAAGGAAGUAUACCUCCAAAAUAGGCAAAAAUAUGUUUUAUGUUUUAAAAACAUGCAAAAUAAUUUCAUGAUGAAAUACCUUGAUUUGCAUGUGACUUAGAACUUAUUUCAUAUUAACCAGAUUCAGUUGCUGUGAUAAAUCUAUUAUGUGUUUUAGAAAAUCUAUUUUUAAAAAAUAUCUAUUUUUAAGCCAGAAGAAAAACCUGGCAUUUGUGUAUCCAUGUGUAAGCUAGCCUGCUUGGUAUCAUGCAGUCAAGGUACUAAAAGAUUAAUAAAAUUAAUUUUAAAAAUCUCCUGUUACAGACUAACAAAUAAUAUAUUUCCUCAAAUUUUCUGGGCUAUACUACUUUGUAUUAAUGCAAUCUGAAUUUUCAGAUACAAAUACCAGUCAAUGGUUGAACUUAAAAGCAAUAGGGUUGGGAGGACCUUUGCAAUAUUGGUCAUUAAAUCAUAAGUAAAAUUAUUCUGGACCAUAGUAAGUGGAAUGCCCUAACUUUUCUUAGUUCAAACUCUGCACAUUGAUUCUGAAGUUCAUAAUCAUGCCCUUUUAUGUGCUUUAAGCGGACAUCCUGACUUUGUGGUGUAUACUUUUUGUAAGAGAGCAGGUAACUCCAGCACAGAAGAAACCAUGUAAUGCAGAAGGGGGGAGGACUUCAGUGGCACUAUUCCAUUUUUAUUGAUCCAGACUGUUGCUUUCAGUCCUGCAUUGAGGCCUCCUUGGACGUCGGUUUCUAACGUAUCACUGACCAUCAUACAGUCCCCAGGUUGUACUUUGAGAAGAUUGCAGCAGUAAUAAAAUAUGGAUGGUGCUGGCUUCUCUCUCUGCUCUCCACCUCCAAUAGCGUGGAAAUACGACUGACAGGCACAAGGCUCAAUCUUCUCCCUCUGGAUCUGUCUGUCCCCAUUCCUUAAUAAAAAUAGGCAGACCUUCUUUCAAAGUUCGGUGAGCAUGACUUUGAUAUUUUCUGCUAGUGUCAUAAGCUGUAAACGUGUAGAUUUCCAAAGGAAGUGACAUUCUCCAGUCAAUUUUCUAUUGGCGGCACCAUCUUUUGUUUCCUGGACUGCUUCUUCCCAAUUGAAGUCCUUAGAUCAGUAAUGCAUGUACUGUAAGGAUGAAAACAUUCCUUCCUGAGUUUAACUUGAACUUUAUCACAGAUGAUUUCAGCCUUUUCUUAAAAUGAUAUUUUGAUUGUAAGAGCUUUAUCACCUCCAACAGGUCUCUCCUGCUCACCCUGGCCAUGUCGAUGAGCAUGCUGUCCAGGUCAAAGAAAGAGGCCAGCAUGUGGCUCAUCCCCAUAGCCCCCAUGGCUCCCGCCACCCUCGCACGUGUGAGGUGGGCGUCCCGGCAAUGUCUUACUUUUAAUAAUGUGUGAUUUUUUUCAUUGAUGGCUAUUACAUUUUUUAUCAUGUUUUAGGUUCUUCUAUGUACUGUAAUGAAUUCUCUUCAACAGUUAUCUAUUUUUUUCAGUUGAUUAGUCUUAAUUAUCAUAUCUUUACAUGCCUAUCUGGGAAAUAAUAAAAUGCUCUCUAGAAUUGUGCAACAUGGCAGCCUUGUUUAGAAGAAAUUGACAGUGUUGAAUUUCACCUAAGUUCUGUGCUCCUGGAAAAGAGCAAGAUGGAGAAAUCCCCCACCCUUUUGUGUUUCAGAAAGGCCUUGCUGCAAAGAAGCACCCUUUCCCAUAUAAUUUAGAUAAAACUCAUGUAUACUGCCUUGUUUACCUAUGACAAGGCCAGAAACAGACUCCAAAUUCCCACUCUUUGCCUCAUAAAUGAUUAACUAAGCUUGUUUGUACUAAUGAUCAAUGGGAACAAAAUGCUUGUUAAUCACACUUUGGUUAAGAUUCUAUCUAUCCGCCAGGUCUCUGAACCUUGGCCCAUCCUCAGUCUGAGUCAGCAUGUAACCCUUCUUCAACAGCAUCUCUGGAGAGAAGGCUGGCUUCUGGGUAAAACAUUCUUUAAUCCCAUUCUCUUAUCCCACCUGCCCACAUCCAAAUCUUUCUAAUCUAGUUUACUCCUCUCUAUAAAAGAAAAACUCUUUUCACCUAACUCUUGAGAAGCUUGCAGGUAUUAUGGUCAAAGAGUUCCUGUUAUUGCAAUAGCUCCCCUUCUCCUAUUGAAAGAGACCCUUUUCCUCUUAGAAUAAUCCUUCCAACAAAGUCUCCUUACUAAGUCUGAGUUUGCUUUUUGACAGGACCCACUCAUUACCUUUCAUUAAAUUUUUUUUUCUUUCCUAUUCUCAAAUAAGAAAAAAUUAUUUUGCCAUAUCUGGCCCUUACCUGAUUUAGGUUUUUAAAAAACUUUUUGGAGGUAUAACUUACAUACAUACAAAUGUAUGUAUAACUUGCAUAUAUUUAAGAGGUAAAAUUUGGUGAUAUUUGACAGAUGUAUAACCCCUGUGAAACUUGUAUUACACAAUGUAUGGCACAUUUCUGUCACCUCUGUUUUCUUGAGCCACUUUGCAUAUAACCUCCCUUCUGCCCUUGGCUCUUCGCAACCACUGAUCUGUUCUCUGUCAGUAUAUGCUAGUUUGCAUUUUCUAGAACUUUUUAUGUGUGGAAUUAUAUGGUGUGUCUGGCUUCUUUCACCAGCAUAACGAUUUCGAGAUUCAACAAUAUUGUUGCAGUUAUUAGUAGUUAAUUCCUCUUUUGUUAUCGGGUAUUAUUCCAUUUGUAUAGAUAUACCAUAUUCUUUAUCCACUGAUCUAUUGAUGAAUAUUUCUUAUUUUUCCCCCAGUUUUAAGGUUGCUAUAAGCUGAAUGUUUGUGUCUUCCCAAAAUUCAUAUGUUGAAAACUAAUAAUCCCUAAUGUGACGGUGUUUGGAGGUGGGGCCUUUGGGAGAUGAUAGGUCAUAUGGUUGUUGGGAGGUGGGGCCUUUGGAGAUGAUAGGUCAUAUGGUUGGAGGCCACAUGAAUAGGAUUGCUGUCCUUAUAAAAAAGGCCUCAGAGAGUUCCUCUGCCUCUUCUGCUGUAUGAAGAAACAAUGAGAAGAUGGCCAUCUGUCUAUGAACCAGGAAGUGGGACCUCACCAAAAACUGAAUCUGCCUGUGGCUUAAUCUUGGACUUGCCAUCCUCCAGAACUGUGAGGAAUAAAUUUCUGUUGUUUAUAAGCCAUGCAGUAUAUGGUAUUUUUGUUAUAGCAGCCCCCACUGAGAGGGAUAUUGCAAAUAAAAU